UAAGUAAAUCGCCUUAUCGCUGUUCGAUUUAUCGAAUGGAGGAAAGUCCGAACACCAUAGUGCAGCAUAAUGGUUAACAGCCAUCGGUCGAAAGAUUAGGAAAAGUGCAACAGAAAGAAUGUACAGGUCAUGCUGUAGUGAAACCAGGUAAACUCUAUGCGGUGCAAUGUCAUGUAAACUAGCGUUUGAGAACGGCACGUUCGAUGCUAGAGGGUAGGCAGCUAAAGUGUGCUGGUAACAGUAAACUCAGAUAAAUGAUAAGGACUCUUUUAUUAGAGUACAGAAUUCGGCUUAUAGAUUUGCUUGUCUA
Molecule: RNase P RNA, 310 nt
Filed under: Flavobacteriales bacterium 34_180_T64
Lineage: Bacteria; Pseudomonadati; Bacteroidota; Flavobacteriia; Flavobacteriales
Description: RNase P RNA component class A
Rfam family: Bacterial RNase P class A
About the family: Ribonuclease P (RNase P) is a ubiquitous endoribonuclease, found in archaea, bacteria and eukarya as well as chloroplasts and mitochondria. Its best characterised activity is the generation of mature 5'-ends of tRNAs by cleaving the 5'-leader elements of precursor-tRNAs.
Source: RNAcentral